GUCCACGCCGUAAACGAUGAUUACUAGGUGUGGGGGACUGACCCCUUCCGUGCCGGAGUUAACACAAUAAGUAAUCCACCUGGGGAGUACGACCGCAAGGUUGAAACUCAAAGGAAUUGACGGGGCCCGCACAAGCAGUGGAGUAUGUGGUUUAAUUCGAAGCAACGCGAAGAACCUUACCAGGUCUUGACAUCGAGCGACGAACUUAGAGAUAAGUUCUUCCUUCGGGACGCGAAGACAGGUGGUGCAUGGUUGUCGU
Molecule: ribosomal RNA, 259 nt
Filed under: uncultured bacterium
Lineage: Bacteria
Description: partial 16S ribosomal RNA
Rfam family: Bacterial small subunit ribosomal RNA
Source: RNAcentral